GACCGCAUAGCAAAAGGAUAAGCUAAGGUGCUGUCACCACCUGAGAUUGUAGGUUCAAGUCCUACUGCGGUCGCCA
Molecule: transfer RNA, 76 nt
Filed under: Avibacterium paragallinarum
Lineage: Bacteria; Pseudomonadati; Pseudomonadota; Gammaproteobacteria; Pasteurellales; Pasteurellaceae
Description: tRNA-Asp(gtc)
Rfam family: tRNA
About the family: Transfer RNA (tRNA) molecules are approximately 80 nucleotides in length.
Source: RNAcentral